Molecule: ribosomal RNA, 193 nt
Filed under: uncultured bacterium
Lineage: Bacteria
Description: partial 16S ribosomal RNA
Rfam family: Bacterial small subunit ribosomal RNA
Source: RNAcentral
ACGCUCGACACCUACGGGGGCAGCAGUGGGGAAUAUUGCACAAUGGGGGAAACCCUGAUGCAGCGACGCCGCGUGAGCGAAGAAGUAUUUCGGUAUGUAAAGCUCUAUCAGCAGGGAAGAAAAUGACGGUACCUGACUAAGAACGCCCCGGCUAACUACGUGCGCNGCGCGUAGUAUNGNGGCGGNGNGAGAG